This is a long non-coding RNA of Gymnodraco acuticeps, 215 nucleotides long. RefSeq lists it as uncharacterized. The transcript has 3 exons. The record is from RefSeq and is a predicted model, not a curated record. NCBI's taxonomy places the organism in Eukaryota, Metazoa, Chordata, Actinopteri, Perciformes, Bathydraconidae.
AAAGCCUCCGACAGCGAGUUUGCAUGGAUGCAGGCUUGAUAAUCUCACUCCACAGGUGUGCAACCGUUUUUCGGGCAUGGAGGAAACAACGUCAUACAAAUGAUGACCUGUUCUGCAAAAAACGCAAUGCUGCCAAAGAAGCAUGGGAGUCAAUCAUUAAGGAACUGGACCUUGGGCAACAUGUGUCUCACAAACAGGCCUCCAAGAAAUGGGAG